Long non-coding RNA from Oncorhynchus gorbuscha (pink salmon), 190 nucleotides. RefSeq lists it as uncharacterized. Lineage: Eukaryota; Metazoa; Chordata; Actinopteri; Salmoniformes; Salmonidae. The record is from RefSeq and is a predicted model, not a curated record. The transcript has 6 exons.
AGACCCUGAGGAGUUCGAAGCAGCGCAAAUGAAUGAGGAUGCAAAUAGUGCAGAUAUAUGCUACUUGGAGCCUGUUCAAGAUGAAAAUACUGAGCAGAAUUCCACUCAGGAGGAGGACAUGGCAGACAGAGACAGAAACGUUGAUGCAGACCAUGAGGAGUCCGAGUCUGAUGAGGAUGUAGAUGGCGAG